This 68-nucleotide transfer RNA is filed under the name Scleropages formosus (Asian bonytongue). It matches the Rfam family "tRNA". From Rfam's summary of the family: Transfer RNA (tRNA) molecules are approximately 80 nucleotides in length. Their secondary structure includes four short double-helical elements and three loops (D, anti-codon, and T loops). Further hydrogen bonds mediate the characteristic L-shaped molecular structure. tRNAs have two regions of fundamental functional importance: the anti-codon, which is responsible for specific mRNA codon recognition, and the 3' end, to which the tRNAs corresponding amino acid is attached (by aminoacyl-tRNA synthetases). tRNAs cope with the degeneracy of the genetic code in two manners: having more than one tRNA (with a specific anti-codon) for a particular amino acid; and 'wobble' base-pairing, i.e. permitting non-standard base-pairing at the 3rd anti-codon position. Lineage: Eukaryota; Metazoa; Chordata; Actinopteri; Osteoglossiformes; Osteoglossidae. The record is from Rfam by way of RNAcentral.
GCCUGGAUAGUUGUUAGAGCAUCUGAUUUUUAAUCUGAGGGUCCAGGGUUCAAGUCCCUGUCUAGGCA